Molecule: unclassified non-coding RNA, 343 nt
Filed under: soil metagenome
Description: partial contains 5.8S ribosomal RNA, internal transcribed spacer 2, and large subunit ribosomal RNA
Rfam family: 5.8S ribosomal RNA (bases 1-120)
Source: RNAcentral
GAUGAAGAACGCAGCGAAAUGCGAUAAGUAAUGUGAAUUGCAGAAUUCAGUGAAUCAUCGAAUCUAUGAACGCACAUUGCGCCCGCCAGCAUUCUGGCGGGCAUGCCUGUUCGAGCGUCAUUUCAACCCUCGAGCCCCCCCGGGGGCCUCGGUGUUGGGGGACGGCACACCAGCCGCCCCCGAAAUGCAGUGGCGACCCCGCCGCAGCCUCCCCUGCGUAGUAGCACACACCUCGCACCGGAGCGCGGAGGCGGUCACGCCGUAAAACGCCCAACUUUCUUAGAGUUGACCUCGGAUCAGGUAGGAAUACCCGCUGAACUUAAGCAUAUCAAUAAGCGGAGGA